AUCGAAUCAGGAAGCAAUGAUGAAAUGUUUUUAAUUGGGCACUUUGACAUUUCGGAGCGAGUAGUGCAACCGGCCAAAUGAGAG
This 84-nucleotide non-coding RNA is filed under the name Salisediminibacterium beveridgei. RNAcentral describes it as "Bacillus beveridgei c-di-GMP-II sequence". It matches the Rfam family "Cyclic di-GMP-II riboswitch aptamer". The record is from Rfam by way of RNAcentral. Lineage: Bacteria; Bacillati; Bacillota; Bacilli; Caryophanales; Bacillaceae.